UGGGGAAUCUUGCACAAUGGGCGAAAGCCUGAUGCAGCGACGCCGCGUGGGGGAUGAAGCUUUUCGGAGUGUAAACCCCUUUCGAUCCGGACGAAUACCUCGCAAGAGGAGUGACGGUACGGAUAUAAGAAGCCCCGGCUAACUACGUGCCAGCAGCCGCGGUAAUACGUAGGGGGCCAGCGUUGUUCGGAAUUACUGGGUGUAAAGGGUUCGUAGGCGGUGCGGCAAGUUGGGAGUGAAAUCUCUGGGCUCAACCCAGAGACGGCUUCCAAAACUGCUGUGCUUGAGUGUGAGAGAGGCUCGUGGAAUUGCAGGUGUAGCGGUGAAAUGCGUAGAUAUCUGCAGGAACACCCGUGGCGAAAGCGGCGAGCUGGAUCACUACUGACGCUGAAGAACGAAAGCUAGGGGAGCAAACAGGAUUAGAUACCCCCGUAGUCC
RNAcentral lists this ribosomal RNA (438 nucleotides) under uncultured bacterium. Its description in RNAcentral is "bacterial SSU rRNA". It matches the Rfam family "Bacterial small subunit ribosomal RNA", at positions 355 to 796 of the family's 1533-position model. The record is from RNAcentral.